GAGGGAUUAGCUCAAAUGGUAGAGCGUCCACUUUGCAUGCGGGAGGUACUGGGAUCGGCGCCCGGAUUCUCCA
This 73-nucleotide transfer RNA is filed under the name Acropora cervicornis. RNAcentral's name for it is "tRNA-Ala". It matches the Rfam family "tRNA". From Rfam's summary of the family: Transfer RNA (tRNA) molecules are approximately 80 nucleotides in length. Lineage: Eukaryota; Metazoa; Cnidaria; Anthozoa; Scleractinia; Acroporidae. The record is from RNAcentral.